RNAcentral lists this ribosomal RNA (496 nucleotides) under uncultured bacterium. RNAcentral describes it as "partial 16S ribosomal RNA". It matches the Rfam family "Bacterial small subunit ribosomal RNA", at positions 28 to 506 of the family's 1533-position model. The record is from RNAcentral.
GAUGAACGCUGGCGGCGUGCCUAAUACAUGCAAGUCGAGCGAACAGACGAGGAGCUUGCUCCUCUGACGUUAGCGGCGGACGGGUGAGUAACACGUGGAUAACCUACCUAUAAGACUGGGAUAACUUCGGGAAACCGGAGCUAAUACCGGAUAAUAUAUUGAACCGCAUGGUUCAAUAGUGAAAGACGGUUUUGCUGUCACUUAUAGAUGGAUCCGCGCCGCAUUAGCUAGUUGGUAAGGUAACGGCUUACCAAGGCAACGAUGCGUAGCCGACCUGAGAGGGUGAUCGGCCACACUGGAACUGAGACACGGUCCAGACUCCUACGGGAGGCAGCAGUAGGGAAUCGUCCGCGAUGGGCGAAAGCCUGACGGAGCAACGCCGCGUGAGUGAUGAAGGUCUUCGUAUCGUAAAACGCUGUUAUUAGGGAAGAACAAAUGUGUAAGUAACUAUGCGCGUCUUGACGGUACCUAAUCAGAAAGCCACGGCUAACUACGU